AUACCACUACUUUUAACG
This 18-nucleotide small nuclear RNA is filed under the name Arabidopsis thaliana (thale cress). RNAcentral describes it as "snRNA_12880". The record is from RNAcentral. Lineage: Eukaryota; Viridiplantae; Streptophyta; Magnoliopsida; Brassicales; Brassicaceae.